AUGCUUCGAUUUUUUGUCCAUCAAGGUGUAUUUUUUUUACAAGUUGUGCAUCCUUGGUACUGGUUAGAAGCAGGUAUCAAGAAGCUAGCUGACUCUCUUGCAUCUCCUAUUGUUUCUGUGCAACCAAUGCCACCUACAGAUCCAUAUGCAAACCUUUGGAAGCGGAUAAAUGCCCUUACCAUACCAGCUAAGGAUAAACUUGAGAUUGUAGCAUAUCUAUCCAAGCCAGAUCAAGAUAUCUUUCGUAGUUACCUCAACUAUGCUGAUGAAACAAUUCUUGGACAGUGGGUCCUUAGCUUCUUCGAGCCUCGGUUUCAAGAAGAUGGUGGCAAUGGUGGAUCUGCAACUGCUCACUGA
RNAcentral lists this ribosomal RNA (357 nucleotides) under Triticum aestivum (bread wheat). RNAcentral's name for it is "partial small subunit ribosomal RNA". The record is from RNAcentral. Lineage: Eukaryota; Viridiplantae; Streptophyta; Magnoliopsida; Poales; Poaceae.